Molecule: ribosomal RNA, 465 nt
Filed under: uncultured bacterium
Lineage: Bacteria
Description: partial 16S ribosomal RNA
Rfam family: Bacterial small subunit ribosomal RNA
Source: RNAcentral
CCUACGGGAGGCAGCAGUGGGGAAUAUUGCGCAAUGGGCGAAAGCCUGACGCAGCGACGCCGCGUGAGGGAUGAAGGUCUUCGGAUCGUAAACCUCUGUCAGCAGGGAAGAACGGUCACUGUGCUAAUCAGCAGUGAAUUGACGGUACCUGCAAAGGAAGCACCGGCUAACUCCGUGCCAGCAGCCGCGGUAAUACGGAGGGUGCGAGCGUUAAUCGGAAUUACUGGGCGUAAAGCGCUCGUAGGCGGUAUGUCAAGUCAAGGGUGAAAUCCCCGCGCGCAACGUGGGAACUGCCUUUGAAACUGGCAAACUGGAGUGUGUGAGAGGAUAGUGGAAUUCCAGGUGUAGGAGUGAAAUGCGUAGAUAUCUGGAGGAACAUCAGUGGCGAAGGCGACUAUCUGGCACAUAACUGACGCUGAGGAGCGAAAGCGUGGGUAGCAAACAGGAUUAGAUACCCUAGUAGUC